RNAcentral lists this ribosomal RNA (700 nucleotides) under Clostridiales bacterium. RNAcentral's name for it is "bacterial SSU rRNA". It matches the Rfam family "Bacterial small subunit ribosomal RNA", at positions 845 to 1533 of the family's 1533-position model. The record is from RNAcentral. Lineage: Bacteria; Bacillati; Bacillota; Clostridia; Eubacteriales.
GCCGUCGCAAACGCAUUAAGUAUCCCGCCUGGGGAGUACGGCCGCAAGGUUAAAACUCAAAGGAAUUGACGGGGACCCGCACAAGCAGCGGAGCAUGUGGUUUAAUUCGAAGCAACGCGAAGAACCUUACCAAGGCUUGACAUCCCCUGCAUAGUGUGGAAACACAUGAAAUCGUGGGCAACCACGACAGGGAGACAGGUGGUGCAUGGUCGUCGUCAGCUCGUGUCGUGAGAUGUUGGGUUAAGUCCCGCAACGAGCGCAACCCUUGUGGAUAGUUGCCAUCAUUAAGUUGGGCACUCUAUUCAGACUGCCGUGGACAACACGGAGGAAGGUGGGGAUGACGUCAGAUCAUCACGCCCCUUACGUCUUGGGCGACACACGUGCUACAAUGGUCGUUACAGAGAGAGGCGAGCCGGCAACGGGGAGCAAAUCUCAAAAAGGCGAUCCCAGUUCAGAUUGUGGGCUGCAACCCGCCCACAUGAAGGAGGAGUUGCUAGUAAUCGCGAAUCAGCAUGUCGCGGUGAAUGCGUUCCCGGGUCUUGUACACACCGCCCGUCACGCCAUGGGAGCCGGGAGUACCCGAAGUCAGUGACCCAACCGCAAGGAAGGAGCUGCCGAAGGUAAGACCGGUGACUGGGGUGAAGUCGUAACAAGGUAGCCGUAUCGGAAGGUGCGGCUGGAUCACCUCCUUUUAGGGAGA